UUUAUACUCCCUUCGUUCCAAAUUUUUUGUGUUAGGUUUGUUUAGAAAUGAGUGUAUCUAAAUACUAAAAUGUAAUUAGAUACAUUCAUAUCUAGACAAAUCUAAGACAAUAAUUUUAGGACGGAGGGAGUAUUUU
Hordeum vulgare subsp. vulgare (domesticated barley) is the source of this 136-nucleotide non-coding RNA. Lineage: Eukaryota; Viridiplantae; Streptophyta; Magnoliopsida; Poales; Poaceae. The record is from Rfam.